CUACGGGUGGCAGCAGUGAGGAAUAUUGCACAAUGGGGGAAACCCUGAUGCAGCAACGCCGCGUGGAGGAUGACGCAUUUCGGUGUGUAAACUCCUUUUAUGAGUCAAGAAAAUGACGGUAGCCCAUGAAUAAGCACCGGCUAACUCCGUGCCAGCAGCCGCGGUAAUACGGAGGGUGCAAGCGUUACUCGGAAUCACUGGGCGUAAAGGACGCGUAGGCGGGAUGGCAAGUCAGGUGUGAAAUACCUAUGGCUCAACCAUAGAACUGCACUUGAAACUGGCAACCUAGAGUAUGGGAGGGGGAGAUGGAAUUAGUGGUGUAGGGGUAAAAUCCGGAGAUAUCACUAGGAAUACCGAAAGCGAAGGCGAUCUCCUGGAACAUUACUGACGCUAAGGCGUGAAAGCGUGGGGAGCAAACAGGAUUAGAUACCCCCGUAGUC
Molecule: ribosomal RNA, 440 nt
Filed under: uncultured bacterium
Lineage: Bacteria
Description: partial 16S ribosomal RNA
Rfam family: Bacterial small subunit ribosomal RNA
Source: RNAcentral